AUAUUUGCACACAACAUGAGAUAUAUGAGAAUUGAAAAACCACCCAUAAAUAAACGCAAGCAAGUACCCUUCCAAAAAUCACAAGAAAAAUCUUUAGAUGAAAAAAUAAAACAGAAGAAAUAAAAAGACACGAGAUCAGCCCAAAGCCUGAGUUGAAAAAAAAAAAAAAAACCUAGAAGAAAUAAAAAGACACAAAGUUCAGCCCCAAAGCCUGAGUUGGUUGCAUCUCAGAAGGGGAGAUGACUAUGAUGCAAAAUCCUUUGGCAAAACAUCCUUCAUCAAUUUGAGAAGAACAUCAUCUUUAGUUUUUCCUUGCAUCUGAUCAAUGAGCAUGGAAAGAGUAGAAACAUUUGCUGAGAGUCCCUUUUCGCGCAUUACUUUCAAGUAUGGUAUUGCCUUGCUAAGCUCUUUCUUCUUUAGGAAACUUCGCGUCAUGAUGUUGUAUGUCACUUCGUCGGGUGCACAACCAUGACUCUGCAUCUUUGUAAGCAAACAUUGUGCCUCCUCUGUAGAACCUUCAUGACAAAGUGCACCAAUGAUCAUAUUAUAUAUACGAGCAUUAGGUUGCACACCUCUAGAAGGUAGUUGGUUGAAAAGAUCUCUGGCAACAUCAAGUUUCCCAUUUUUGCAUAAUCCAUUAAUGACAGCCCCAUAUGUAACUCUAUCGAGAUCAACUCCUUUCCCUUCAAUCGUAUGCAGAAAAGAAAGAGCUUCAUCAGUUUCCCCAUUCCUGCACAGCCCAUCCAACAAUGUACUAUAAGUAUAUAUGUUAGGAGUUACUCGUCGAGCUUCCAUAUCCUUGAAAAGCUUCCAGCCCUCGGAAAAUCUACGCUUACUAAACAGCCCAUGAAUCAUGGUAUUAUAAGUACAUGUAUCAUGCUCCAGACCUUUCAAAGGAACUUCGAGAAAAUGAAGCCAAGCUUCGUCUAUUCUCCCCUUUCUGCAAUAUCCAUUUAAUAUGCAAUUGUAGGUAACAAUAUUAGGCUUAAGUCCCUUGUCAACCAUGGAAUCAAGUACUUGUCGUGCUUUGUCAAUUUCUCCUCUCAAACAAUACCCCUCCAUUAUCGCAUUAUAAGUGACAACAUUAGGGCAUACGUUACGUUGCUUCAUAAUUUCCAGUAAAUCCACGGCCUCUUUCAUCUUUCGUUCCUUGCAGUAUGCAUCAAUCAAUAUACUAAAAGUUACGACAUCGAGAGAAAUAUUAGAAUUAGACAUAUCAUUCACUAGAACCUUAACAUCCUCCAGUCUCCCUAGGUCGCACAACCCCUGAAUCAUCGAGCUGUACGUGACAACAUUGGGUGUAAUACCCUUUUCGAUCAUCGCGGAUAGGAGCUGGAGAGCAUUAUCCACCAUUCCAGAUUUGCGUAGCCCGUCGAGUAAUGCACUAUAAGCCUUGACAUUAGGUCUCAACCUACUUCUUUCUAAUCUACGAACUAAAUCUCUCGCUGGAAGGACAUUUCCUGAUUUACAAAGCCCAUCUACCAUCGUCACAAUCAUAACAUCAUUAGGCUCACAUAUUCUGAAAUGCAAAAGCAUAUUGAACAAUUUCCCAGCCUCGGCCACCUUAUGAUUUAAAAAGAACCCUUUAAUCAGAGUGGUGAAAGUCGCGACAUUUGGUUCGUACCCUCUCUUGAAAAAUAUACCCAUUACAGCAAAGCCAGAUUUUAUAUCUUUCAAGAGACAACAACAAUUCACAGCAAUAUUCAUCGUGUAAACAUUAACAGGGACACCCAUCCUAAGCAUUUCAUCAAACAUAUAAAGGGCAAAAGAAUACUGCUCAAUCUUUACAGUGACACUCAAAAGAUUGUUGUACAUUAGAACAGAAGGCUCCGGCUGCAUACUCUUCAUUUUUUGAAACACUCCAAUAGCAUCAUUUAAUUCUUUAACACAGCUGAAAUCGAUUCUGGGCUGCUUAGGUUGAAAAGCCUUGGAAGAGAAGAGAGAGAAUGGAGGAGAGAUAAUACCCGAUUUAUGCGACCAUUGAUUGAGAAAUCCUGUUCCAUGAAUGAGAUCGAUUGCAAAAACAGCAGCUCUUCUGCUCGUCAUCCUUAAUCGGCGGUGAGAUUAAUGUGAAGAAAGGGAGAGUGUUGGGCGACGCUUGCGAGUUGCGAGAUUAGUUGUGAUUCAAUCUGAAAAAAGGGUUGAAAUUGCAACGGAUGGAUUUUGUAAGGGUUGAAAUUCUUUGGUAGUGUAUUUAUAAUAAUUUAGUUUUCUUAUUUUAAUUAUAUAAAAAAGUAUUUAACUUUGAAAUAAAGUAGCCACUUACCAAAAUAUGUUGGAUCACUACACAAUUCCAUCGUAUUUUCUAAUGAACUUUUAAUUAUACAAUGAAGUUUCCUUCUUUUCAUUUGUCUUUAAAAAAAAUACCUAAAAUAACCUUAUUUCUUUCGUAAAUAACCCUAUUUUGUAUGUAAAUAAAAAAAUACAUAGUUAAAUUUGAUAGUUUCAAUUAUGCAAUGUCGUGUAUGAGUGAAAUUUGUUGGUAAUAUUAAGUUAAACAAUUCGUUUCAUCGCUCUUAUUCAAAUUUAUAUUAUAAUUUUGUUGUAGAUCAGUUUGUAAUAUUUAAUAUUGUAGUUAGAAGGCAUAUUAUUAUUUGUUAAUUUUAUAUUGCAUGUGUUUUUUAUGAUAACUUGGUACAUAAACAUCCUUUGUGGAUUAGUACAUGAUACUAAUUAUAAAUAAUCUGCUGCAAUAAUAAUGGAUUAAAUAAAAAAAGUAGAAGCAUAUGCUAAGAGUCUCUUUUCGCGCAUUUCUUCUAAGAAAACCACUAUAGUAAUCUCUCUCUUAGGUUAACUAGUAUUUUCUCAUGUGCUAUGCACGAAAUGAAAAUAUAGCAAUUUUAUACAAUGUAAAUAAAAUAACACAUUUUCUUGAGAAAAAAAAGCAAUAAUAAUAGUGUUAAUAGGCAAAAAUGCCCACUUCCUUAAUUUUUUUUUGUAAAAAUACCCUAAGUUAUCAUACAAAGCAUUAUAUGCCCUAAUUAUGUGAAGUACCUAUUUUACCCUUUGAUGUUGAUGGGUGUGCUUGGUUUUUUGUGAAAGUCUUACACAUUUGACCGAUUUGAUAGUUAUCAGUUAUAAAGUCAACGAUUUGACAGUUAUCAGUCAAAAGUAUAUAUGACCGGUGGUGGCUAGCCAGAUCAUGUGUCUGUCCGGUGAAAUUAUGUGUCCGCCCGGCCGGACNAGCCAGAUCAUGUGUCUGUCCGGUGAAAUUAUGUGUCCGCCCGGCCGGACACAUGAUUUUACUGGGCGGACACAUGAUCUGCCACCCAAAUCACGUGUCCGCCCGAUGAAAUUAUGUGUCCGCCCGGGCGGACACAUGAUCUAGUCACCUAUCGUUCAUAUGUAUUCUUGACAGAUAGCUGUCAAAUCGUUGACUUUUAUGAUUGAUAGCUGUCAAAUCGGUCAAAUGUGUAAGACUUUUACAGAAAACCAAACAAAUCCAUCAAAUCAAAGGGUAUUUAAAGAAUAGGGCAUAGAAUGCUUUGUAUAAUAAGAGAUGACAUUUUUACAAAAAAAAAAAAAGAUAAGGAAGUGAGCAUUUUAAAUUUUUACUCAUAAUAAUACCUGGAAUCUAUAUCAAUAAUAUAUAAAAGAUGAGUUUUUUUUUCCUUUCUUUUUCUCUCUCUUCUUCCACCAAAAUUUUCACUAUUUUUUUAACCUUUUUAUAUUGUAAUUAUUAUUUAAACGUCAUCAAAUUUGAUCAUGAAAAAAUAAUCAAUAUGUAUCCCAAAUUCAAUAUAGUAUAAAAAUCAUCAAAAAUGAAUAAGUUAUGAAAAUAUUAGUAGAAUAUUUUAUUUUCUGUCUCUUCAUUAAAAAAUUUAUAACUUUUUAUUUACGUUUGUAUAGAAAUAUUUAUUAUGAUGAAUAGUAUAUGCAUAGUGCAAAAUUUUAUUAUCGAAUACUUUUUAAAUUUAUUUAAUAACUUUAAUUAUUAUUACACUUUGUAUAAAUUGAAUAUUUAUAUUUUUAAAUUCAGGAUUUUAUUGAGUAAUUGAUGUGAAUUAUUAUAUGUUACUCCUAUUAAAAUAUACUUCCUCCGUCCCUGAAAUAAGUUUCUCUUUUUCCUUUUUGGGACGUCCUCCAAAUAAGUUCCUUUUUUUUCUUUCCAUUUUUGGACAAUUACCCCACCACGAAUAAUACUUUAUUUAUUCUUACUUUUCACUUUUUCACCACUCCCAAUAGUAAUUAUAACACUUUUUCACAUUUUCACCACUCUCAAUACUAAUUAUAAAAUAUUUUUCUCCACUAUCAAUACACUUUACCACUUUUCCUUAAAACCCGUGCCGUCCCCAAAGAGAAACUUAUUUUUAUUUUGGGGACGGAGGUAGUAUUUUUUUAUUGUUGAGAGAAUUGUGUUUAGGAGAUGAAGGAGGGUGUAGAUACCAGUUUGUUGCUAUUAGUUGUGUUGCUAAAUCUUCACAAGGAGUAGCUCUACUUAUAACUUUGCCUUUGUUAUUCUCUUUUUGAGUAUGUUUUUGGUGUAGCUUUUUCAAGACUGUAAACUGCAGGAUGUUUUGUGAGGCUCAAAUUGUGGUUUAAAUGAGUAAUAUGUUUGGUAAAUUUUCUUUUCAUCUUCUUCUUUGCCAUUUUUUUUCAUUAAAUAUGGAAGUAUAUAUUAGUUGUGUUGCUAAUCUAGGAAAGAGACACUAGAAGGCUGUCUGCUUCUUGCUCAAAGGGGACUGAUACUUAAGAAAAUUAAAAGUAGAAGAAAAUAAAUGAAUAUCCAUUUCUGCAACAUACGCAUAUGAAUUGAAUUAUUAGAAUAUAUGAGAAUAUAUUUGCACACAACAUGAGAUAUAUUACAAAAAAAUCGACUAAUUGAAAAACCACCCAUAAAUAAACGCAAGCAAGUACCCUUCCAAAUAUCACAAGAAAAAUCUUUAGAUGAAAAAAAAAAAGACAAAAAGUUCAGCCCCAAAGCCUGAGUUGGUUGCAUCUCUAAAGACGAGAUGACUAUGAUACAAAAUCCUUUGGCAAAACAUCCUUCAUCAAUUUGAGAAGAACAUCAUCUUUAGUUUUUCCUUGCAUUUGAUCAAUGAGCAUGGAAAGAGUAGAAACAUCUGCUGAGAGUUCCUUUUCGUGCAUUACUUCCAAGUAUGGUAUUGCCUUGCUAAGCUCUUUCUUCUUUAGGAAACUUCGCGUCAUGAUGUUGUAUGUCACUUCGUCAGGUGCACAACCAUGACUCUGCAUCUCUGUAAGCAAACAUUGUGCCUCCUCCGUAGAACCUUCAUGACAAAGUGCACCAAUGAUCAUAUUAUAUAUACGAGCAUUAGGUAGCACACCUCUAGAAGGUAGUUGGUUGAAAAGAUCUCUAGCAACAUCAAGUUUCCCAUUUUUGCAUAAUCCAUUAAUGACAGCCCCAUAUGUUACUCUAUCAGGAGUAACUCCUUUCCCUUCAAUCGUGUGCAGAAAGAAAGAGCUUCAUCAGUCUCCCCAUUCCCGAACAGCCCAUCCAACAAUGUAUUAUAAGUAUAUAUGUUAGGAGUUACUCGUCGAGCUUCCAUAUCCUUGAAAAGCUUCCAACCCUCGGAAAAUCUAUCUUUACUAAACAAUCCAUGUAUCAUGGUUGUGUAAGUACAUGCAUCAUGCUCCAGACCUUUACAAGGAAAUUCCAGAAAAUGAAGCCAAGCUUCGUCUAUUCUCCCCUUUCUGCAAUAUCCAUUUAAUAAGCAGUUGUAGCUAACAAUAUUAGGCUUAAGUCGCUUGUCAACCAUGGAAUCAAGUACUUGUCGUGCUUUGUCAAUUUCUCCUCUCAAACAAUACCCCUCCAUUAGCGCAGUAUAAGUGACAACAUUAGGGCAUACGUUACGUUGCCUCAUAAUUUCCAACAAAUCUUCAGCCUCUUUCAUCUUUCUCUCCUUGCAGUAUGCAUCAAUCAAUAUACUAAAAGUUACGACAUUGAGAGAAAUAUUAGAAUUGGACAUAUCAUUCACUAGAACCUUAACAUCCUCCCGUCUCCCUAGGUCGCACAACCCCUGAAUCAUCGAGCUGUACGUGACAACAUUGGGUGUAAUACCCUUUUCGAUCAUCGCGGAUAGGAGCUGGAGAUAGGGGUGAGCAAAAAAUCCGAAACCGAAUAACCGAACCGAUCCAAACCGAAAUUUUAAAAUAUGGUUCGGUUUUUUCGGUUUUUCGGUUCGGUUCGGUUUUUAUUUUCAUAAAAUUUCGGUUUUUCGGUUCGGUUCGGAUUUUUUAAAACCGAACAAAACCGAAAAACCGAAUUAUAUUUAUAAUAUAUAUAUAUAUAUAUAUAUAUAUAUAUAUUAUUAUUUUAAUUAUAGUUUUAUAAUAUCUAACUUCUAAUAUUUUUUUAAUUUUAUAGUUUUUCUUUUGGAAUUUUCGGUUUUUUUUCGAAUAUUUCGGUUUUUUCGGUUUUUUUUUCAAAAAUUUCGGUUUUCUUCGGAUUAAUUCGGUUUUUCGGUUCGGUUUUAAUUAUAAAAAUUUCGGUUAAUUCGGUUCGGUUUGUUCGGUUAAUUCGGUUCGGUUCGGUUUUUUUUUUAAACCGAACUAAAAUAUGGUUUGGUUUGGUUUUAACAAAAACCGAACCAUAUAACCGAAUGCUCACCCCUAGCUGGAGAGCAUCAUCCACCAUUCCAGAUUUGCGUAGCCCGUCGAGUAAUGCAUUAUAAGCCUUGACAUUAGGUCUCAACCUACUUCUUUCUAAUCUACGAACUAAAUCUCUCGCUGGAAGGACAUUUCCUGAUUUACAAAGCCCAUCUACCAUCGUCAGAAUCAUAACAUCAUUAGGCUCACAUAUUCCGAAACGUAAAAUCUUAUUGAACAAUUUUCCAGCCUCCACCACCUUAUGAUCUAAAAACAGCCCUUUAAUCAAAGUGGUGAAUGUCGCGACAUUUGGUUCGUAGCCUCUCUUGAAAAAUAGACCCAUUACAGCAAAGCCAGAUUUUAUAUCUUUCAAGAGACAACAACAAUUCACAGCAAUAGUCAUCGUGUAAACAUUAACAGGGACACCCAUCCUAAGCAUUUCAUCAAACAUAUAAAGGGCAAAAGAAUACUGCUCAAUCUUUACCGUGACACUCAAAAGAUUGUUGUACAUUAGAACAGAAGGCUCCGGCUGCAUACUCUUCAUUUUUUGAAACAAUCCAAUAGCAUCAUUUAAUUCUUUAACACAGCUGAAAUCGAUUCUGGGCUGCUUAGGUUGAAAAGCCUUGUAAGAGAAGUGAGAGAAUGGAGGAGAGAGAAUACCCGAUUUCUGCGACCAUCGAUUGAGAAAUCGUCUUCCAUGAAUGACAUCGAUUGCAAAAACAGCUGCCCUUCUGCUCAUCAUCCUUAAUCGGCGGUGAGAUUUAAUGUGAUGAAAGGGAGAGUGUUGGGCGACGCUUGCGAGAUUAGGAGUUGUGAUUGAAUCUGAAAAAAGGGUUGAAAUUGCAUCGAAUGGAGUUUGCGAUUUUGGACUUUUUUAUAAGGGUGAGUUCUUUGGUGGGCUCAGAAUUUUGGGCUUGAAUAAUAAUGUUUGGGCUCAAAUUAUUUGGGCUACUAGAAAAUAAAAAUACUAAGAGUAAUUCUUACAUUUUUUAAAAUGUAAUGCAUCUAUAAUUAUUUUAAUUUUCUUAUUUUAAUUAUAUAAAAAAGAACGUAACUUUGAAAUAAAGUAGCAACUUACCAAAAUACGUUGGAUCACUACACAAUUCCAUCGUAUUUACUUGGGAACUUUUAAUUACAAUGCAGUUUCCUUCUUUUCAUUUGUCUUUAAAAGAAAACUAGUAUACGCCCAUUCGUGCGAUGCACGACGAACAUCGAAAUUAAACGAUAAAUUUAAAUAAAUAAAUGUAAAUAAUAAUAAAAAUAAAAUAUAAACAAAUACAAUAUAUGUUUUAAAAAUAUAAUAUAAUAAUUAAGAUCAAUUACUCAAUAAAAUCUUGAAUAUAAAAGGGUUAAUUGCAUCAAAAUACAUGACCUUUUCCCAAAAUUUAGUUUUUUGACAAACUUUUUAAUUUUAGCUACGUUUCAAUUUAUUGCAAUGUCCGUCCUGCGUAUAUUUCUGGCCAAAUCCAUUCAUUUCCNNNNNNNNNNNNNNNNNNNNNNNNNNNNNNNNNNNNNNNNNNNNNNNNNNNNNNNNNNNNNNNNNNNNNNNNNNNNNNNNNNNNNNNNNNNNNNNNNNNNNNNNNNNNNNNNNNNNNNNNNNNNNNNNNNNNNNNNNNNNNNNNNNNNNNNNNNNNNNNNNNNNNNNNNNNNNNNNNNNNNNNNNNNNNNNNNNNNNNNNNNNNNNNNNNNNNNNNNNNNNNNNNNNNNNNNNNNNNNNNNNNNNNNNNNNNNNNNNNNNNNNNNNNNNNNNNNNNNNNNNNNNNNNNNNNNNNNNNNNNNNNNNNNNNNNNNNNNNNNNNNNNNNNNNNNNNNNNNNNNNNNNNNNNNNNNNNNNNNNNNNNNNNNNNNNNNNNNNNNNNNNNNNNNNNNNNNNNNNNNNNNNNNNNNNNNNNNNNNNNNNNNNNNNNNNNNNNNNNNNNNNNNNNNNNNNNNNNNNNNNNNNNNNNNNNNNNNNNNNNNNNNNNNNNNNNNNNNNNNNNNNNNNNNNNNNNNNNNNNNNNNNNNNNNNNNNNNNNNNNNNNNNNNNNNNNNNNNNNNNNNNNNNNNNNNNNNNNNNNNNNNNNNNNNNNNNNNNNNNNNNNNNNNNNNNNNNNNNNNNNNNNNNNNNNNNNNNNNNNNNNNNNNNNNNNNNNNNNNNNNNNNNNNNNNNNNNNNNNNNNNNNNNNNNNNNNNNNNNNNNNNNNNNNNNNNNNNNNNNNNNNNNNNNNNNNNNNNCUUCCAAAAAUCACAAGAAAAAUCUUUAGAUGAAGAAAUAAAACAGAAGAAAUAAAAAGACACAGAUAUCAGCCCAAAGCCUGAGUUGAAAGAAAAAAAAAACUAGAAGAAAUAAAAAGACAAAAAGCUCAGCUCCAAAGCCAGAGUUGGUUGCAUCUCAGAAGACGAGAUGACUAUGAUACAAUAUCCUUUGGCCAAACAUCCUUCAUCAAUUUGAGAAGAAAAUCAUCUUCGGUUUGCAUUUGAUCAACUACCAUGGAAAAAGUAGAAACAUCUGCUGAUAUCCCUUUUCGCGCAUUACCUCCAGUAUGGUAUUGCCUUGCUAAGCUCUUUCUUCUUUGGAAACUCCGCGUCAUGAUGUUGUAUGUCACGCGGGAAGCUGCACAACCACAACUCUGCAUCUCUGUAAGCAAACAUUGUGCCUCCUCCGUAGAACCUUCAUGACAAAGUGCACCAAUGAUCAUAUUAUAUAUUCGAGCAUUAGGUUGAACACCUCUAGAAGGAAGUCGGUUGAAAAGAUCUCUGGCAACAUCAAGUUUCCCAUUUUUGCAUAACCCAUUAAUGACAGCCCCAUACGUGACUCUAUCAGGAUUAACUCCUUUCCCUUCAAUCAUGUGCAGAAAAGAAAGAGCUUCAUCAGUCUCCCCAUUCUUGCACAACCCAUCCAACAAUGUAUUAUAAGUAUACAUGUUGGGACAUACUCGUCGAGCUCCCAUAUCCUUGAAAAGUUUCCAGCCCUCGGAAAAUCUACGCUUACUAAACAAUCCAUUAAUCAUGGUAUUAUAAGUACGUGUAUUAUACUCCAAACCUUUCAAAGGAACUUUGAGAAAAAGAAGCCAAGCUUCGUCUAUUCUCCCCUUUUUGCAAUAUCCAUUUAAUAAGCAGUUGUAGCUAACAAUAUCAGGCUUAAGUCCCUUGUCAACCAUGGAAUCAAGUACUUGUCGUGCUUUGUCAAUUUCCCCUCUCAAACAAUACCCAUCAAUCAGCGUAUUAUAAGUGACAACAUUAGGGCAUACGUUACGUUGCUUCAUAAUUUCCAACAAAUCCUCAGCCUCUUUCAUCUUUCUCUCCUUGCAGUAUGCAUCAAUCAAUAUACUAAAAGUUACGACAUUGAGAGAAAUAUUAGAAUUGGACAUAUCAUUCACCAAAACCUUAACUUCCUCCAGUCUCCCUAGGUCGCACAACCCCUGAAUCAUCGAGUUAUACGUGACAACAUUGGGUGAUAUACCCUUUUCGAUCAUCCUGGAUAGGAGCUGGAAAGCAUCAUCCACCAUUCCAGAUUUGCAUAGCCCGUCGAGUAAUGCAUUAUAAGCCUUGACAUUAGGUCUCAACCUACUUCUUUCUAAUCUACGAACUAAAUCUCUCGCUGGAAGGACAUUUCCUGAUUUACAAAGCCCAUCUACCAUCGCCAAAAUCAUAACAUCAUUAGGCUCACAUAUUCUGAAACGCAAAAUCUUAUUGAACAAUUUCCCAGCCUCGACCACCCUAUGAUCUAAAAACAGCCCUUUAAUCAGAGUGUUGAAUGUCGUGACAUUUGGUUCGUAACCUCUCUUGAAAAAUAUACCCAUUAUAGCAAAGCCAGAUUUUAUAUCUUUCAAGAGACAACAACAGUUCACAGCAAUAGUCAUUGUGUAAACAUUAACAGGGACACCCAUCCUAAGCAUUUCAUCAAACAUAUAAAGGGCAAAAGAAUACUGCUCAAUCUUUACAGUGACACUCAAAAGAUUGUUGUACAUUAGAACAGAAGGCUCCGGCUGCAUACUCUUCAUUUUUUGAAACAAUCCAAUAGCAUCAUUUAAUUCUUUAACACAGCUGAAAUCGAUUCUGGGCUGCUUAGGUUGAAAAGCCUUGGAAGAGAAGAGAGAGAAUGGAGGAGAGAUAAUACCCGAUUUAUGCGACCAUCGAUUGAGAAAUCCUGUUCCAUGAAUGAGAUCGAUUGCAAAAACAGCAGCUCUUCUGCUCGUCAUCCUUAAUCGGCGGUGAGAUUAAUGUGAAGAAAGGGGAGAGUGUUGGGCGACGCUUGCGAGUUGCGAGAUUAGUUGUGAUUCAAUCUGAAAAAAGGGUUGAAAUUGCAACGGAUGGAUUUUGUAAGGGUUGAAAUUCUUUGGUAGUGCAUCUAUAAUUAUUUUAGUUUUCUUAUUUUAAUUAUAUAAAAAAGUAUUUAACUUGGAAAUAAAGUAGCCACUUACCAAAAUAUGUUGGAUCACUACACAAUUCCAUCGUAUUUUCUAAUGUAUACUUUUUUUUGACUUGUAUUUUCUAAUGUAUACUUGAGAACUUUUAAUUAUACAAUGCAGUUUCCUUCCUUUCAUUUGUCUUUUAAAAAAAUACCUAAAAUAACCUUAUUUCUUUCGUAAAUAACCCUAUUUUGUAUGUAAAUAAAAAAAUAUAUAGUUAAAUUUGAUAGUUUCAAUUAUGCAAUGGCGUCUAUGAGUGAAAUUUGUUUGUAAUAUUAAGUUAAACAAUUCUUUUCAUCGCUCUUAUUCAAAUUUGUAUUAUAAUUUUGUUGUAGAUCAGUUUGUAAUAUUUAAUAUUGUAGUUAUAAGGCAUAUUAUUAUUUGUUAAUUUUAUAUUGCAUGUGUUUUUUUAUGAUAACUUGGUACAUAAACAUCCUUUGUGGAUUAGUACAUGAUACUAAUUAUAAAUAAUCUGCUGCAAUAAUAAUGGAUUAAAUAAAAAAAGUAGAAGCAUAUGCUAAGAGUCUCUUUUCGCGCAUUUCUUCUAAGAAAACCACUAUAGUAAUCUCUCUCUUAGGUUAACUAGUAUUUUCUCAUGUGCUAUGCACGAAAUAGAAAAUAUAGCAAUAUUAUACAAUAGUAAAUAAAAUAAUACUAUUUUCUUAGAGAAAAAAAGACAAUAAUAAUACCUGAAUCUAUAUCUAUAAUAUAUAAAAAUGUAGUUUUUUUUUCCUUUCUUUUUCUAUUUCUUCUUCCACCUAAAAUUUUCACUUAUUUUUUUUAACCUUUUUAUAUUGUAAUUAUUUAUUUAAAUGUCAUACAAAUUUGAUCAUGAAAAAAAUAAUACAAUUAUGUAUCUCAAAAUUCAAUAUAGUAUAAAAAUCAUAAAAAAUCAAUAAGUUAUGGAAAUAUUAGAAUAUUUUAUUUUCUUUCUCUUACAUUAAAAAAUUUAUAACUUUUUAUUUACGUUUGUAUAAAAAUAUUUAUUAUGAUGAAUAGUAUAUACACAGUGCAAAUUUUUAUUAUCGAAUACUUUUUAAAUUAUUUAAUAACUUUAAUUAACAUUACACUUUGUAUAAAUUGAAUAUGAGAAAAAUUUUGAAGUAGCCAAAAAUGAAGCAUAAAACACAAUUUAUGGCCACACAUUGAAAAAACACAAAAUUUGGCCAUUUUUUUUAUUUGGACGUUUUUACCCUUAAUGAAGCGGACCGGGUAGGAUCAGGCACGCGGGUCGCAUGCCGGGUCGGGUUAGGCACUUAUGGCACUAUUAGUGCCUAGUGCCAUAAGUGCCAAGAUUUUACUUUGGUUUUAUUUUGGAUUCCGUUGGCACUUAUGGCACUAAUAGUGUCAUAAGUGACCAAAAUAAAACCAAAGUAAAAUAGUCAUUAUAUGUGCAGCACAAAUAUAAAAACAAUCAUCAUUUAAACCCUAAAUAGGAACAUACUAAACCCCAAAUAGGAUAAUCUAAACCCUAAAUGGAAUAUAUAAACCCUAGGGGGAAGUGUGCACUUAUGGCACUUAUGGCACUAAUAGUGCCAUAAGUGCCAUACAUACAUCACAAAUACAGAUCAGAUCAGAUCUGUUGAUGGCUGAAAUCGAAGGAGGCGGAGAUCAGAUCUGCCGAUGGAGGAGGCGGCGCAACGAUCAGAUCAGAUCCACCUCCAUACCCUAGAUCCCCAAAUCCAGCCCCCCAUUUUCCUUCAAUUUCAUAACAAUAGCAACCCAACACCGCCAGCGCUGCCUUCUAUCCCACUCGACACACACCCAAACCAGAUGCUAGAGGAAAAAUCAGCGGUGGUCGCGGCGGCAAAGCCCUAGCCCCAAAUCGGCUGUGGCGGCAAAGAGCAUACCCGCGCGCGCCGACGAGGUUGGCGACAGGGCCUUCAAACAGAGAGAGAGAGAGAGAGAGAGAUUUGCUUCAGUGAGGGUGUUGUGUUUUUGGAGGGAGAAGAGGUGAGAGACGAGAGAGGGAAUUGAGAGGGUGACGGGCGAGGGGUGGCCGACAGUUGUGGCUGACGGCGGCUCCACCGAGGAAGAAGGGGCGACGUCAGUCUUGGUGUGUGUUGUGUAGAGAGAGAGAGAGAGAGAGAGGAGAGGAGGAAGAAGAAGGAAAAGCUGGAUCCGACGGGUCAAAGAAAAUUGAGUUGGAUCUGCUAAGUUAAAAGGGUAAAUUAGGUAUGACACAUAAAAGAUGGCCAAAUAUUGUGAUUUUUCAUUUUGUGGCCAAAAUUUGAGUUUCCAUCUUCAAUAGGGCCAUCCGGCCCUAUUGUUUCUUGAAUAUAUAUAUUUUUAAAUUCAGGAUUUUAUUGACACUACAAGAAAACGCGGCUCUAACGACCGAAUUUUCGGUUGUUAAACUCGAAAAUUCGGUCGUUAAAGUCUUAACGACCGAAACAACGACCGAAAACUACAAUAAUGUACAAUUUUUAGAUUUAAUUAUAUCAACUCUGUUGUACAUUAUGAGUUUCAACUCUGUGGACCAAUUCGGCUUUAUUUUGGACGAAAAUCUCAAUCUUGAUGAAAUUACAUGAAUUGUUAAGUUUGUGUAUUUUUGUCACAAUUUUAAAGUUGGUGUGCAAAGUCAAAAAUCGAUUAGAAUUGGUGUAUUUUAACGCCAAUAACCCAAUAUUACACUUGGAACAUAUAUGUGAGCAUAUUUUGGUCAAGUACCUCAUGCAAUUACUCAGUCAUUUUCAGAAGUUUCUUUCAAUUUUUCCUUUCAUUCGAUUUGGAGUUCCUUGAUGUCAGAUCUUGUAGUGGGACCCUUACUUCUACUGCAUUGAAUCUCUCUCUCUCUCUUAGUUGGUGCCACCAUAAAUAUGCUGACAUGGUUCUUCAAGUUUUGUUUAUUUAUGACAUCGUCAUAUUUGUGCCACGUCAACUUUUGAAUAUUAUGUUAUGCAUUUAUGAGGUAACAUGCCAUCAACGCUGAAACAAUGAUAUGAACCUACUCUAACUGAUUCUAAAGUUGCAUUUAAAAAAAAAAAAAAACCUUUGAAGGUACUUUGUGUGAUAGGUGUUGGUUAUCCUUGACAUCAUCUAAUGAUACGCAGCGGAAUAUACAUUCAAGGAUUAGAUCUAGAUUUACAAAUGCAUCAUGUGUAGAGAUAAACACACAACGAAAGGAAUAACUUACUCGUUGUGUGGUAAGCGUGCGUCUCGAUUCUUGCCGUGAAUCCACUACUAAGGUAUCCACGUGUAUGUCGAUUCGAUGCAGGAACAAUUCCAAGUGCACGAUUCAAUCUUCGACAGCUAGGAAAUCUCCGAUUUAAACUAUAGUGCUCUCUUAGUGUUUAGCAAGCAAAAGCCUGUCAUUUUGUAAGACCAAAACUCAUACUUAUAAGCCAAAAGUAUUGGCUUACCUUGUAAGCCAAAGAGUUGGCUUCUCUUAUAAGCCAAAGAGUUGUCUUACUAAGGAAGCCAAUCCUAUUCCAAUUAAUAGGUCCAAUAGUCCAACUAGUUCCCAAUUAAUUAAGUGUUAUUAGAAUAUAUCAAAUAUAUCACUACAAGAAUUUAGCACACUGACAACAUAUAUUUAGUGUUGUCUAUGUGAGAAAUAUCUGUUGUUGAGGCCGGUGUUGUCUAUUCUGGGGUGCUCAUAGACAACAAACGAAGGUAAUAGACAACGUAAUUACUAUGUUGUCUAUUUAAACAUAAACAACAGACCUGAUGGUUAUAGACAAAUAUAUCCUAAUCUAGUCCAUAAUAUCUUUCAAUCUCCCACUUGGACUAGCAUUAGAUUAAACACCAAGCACUAUCCUUGCACCCUUGAGCGAAUCAACAAUACACAUAAAGUGUGACCCUUUAGGCCUCCAUUAUCGACGAUAAUCAAAUUAAAGUCUACACAAAACUCCUAGACUGCGUUGUGUAGCGAACUCGAUAUAUGAAGAACGUUUACGUGGAUUCUGUAAACAAACCUUUAUAUGAAGUUUAUGCAAUAUCCCUUCAUUCACGAACCACUUGAUUGAGCCUAGGAUCUGCCAUGUGUCUAUCCCAUUUGCUCAAUCAUUUUAUCUCAUCUUUAUUAAAUGACCCUUCCGAUCAUAUUCAAUUAUUCUAAUUGAAUAUAUCUUUACAUUUGCUGAUAGUAUUCUUGGAAAUGUUUAUGACUUGAAUUGAAGUUUAAAUCUUGACAAAUUGUGCAAAUCAUGAUACUUCAAGUGAAUUUCCCUUACAAUGUGUCUAAAUUUUUUACAGGGAAGCUGAGACUGCGAAGAAGCCUUUUAGCGCACCUCGUGAGGUUCACGUUCAAGUCACGCACUCGAUGCCCCCUCAAAAGAUCGAGAUCUUCAAAUCUAUAGAAGGCUGGGCCGAGGACAAUCUACUGGUUCACCUUAAACCAGUUGAGAAGUGUUGGCAGCCUCAGGAUUUCUUGCCAGAUCCCGCCUCGGAUGGAUUCCAUGACCAGGUCAGGGAAUUGAGAGAGAGAGCUAAGGAGAUUCCCGACGAUUAUUUUGUUGUUCUGGUUGGAGAUAUGAUCACCGAGGAAGCCCUCCCGACGUACCAGACAAUGCUCAACACCUUGGAUGGCGUGAGGGAUGAAUCGGGGGCGAGCUUAACUCCUUGGGCAGUCUGGACGAGGGCGUGCACUGCUGAGGAGAAUAGGCACGGAGAUCUUCUUAAUAAGUAUCUUUAUCUCUGCGGGAGAGUAGACAUGAAGCAAAUCGAGAAGACUAUCCAAUAUCUCAUCGGGUCGGGAAUGGUAACUAACUUCGUUUCUCGUUUGUCUAAAUCUAUGAAUUACUCUUACUUGAUUAUCUACUUGCUUGUGAGUCGGGUCAAUCAUUGUAACUUGAUUAUCUAUGAAUAACGGGGCUAUCCGCGGAUGGGCAGAAGGCUCAAGAAUACGUCUGUGGAUUGCCUCCGAGAAUCAGACGUCUGGAGGAGAGAAUUGAAAAACCACCCAUAAAUAAACGCAAGCAUGUACCCUUCCAAAAAUCACAAGAAAAAUCUUUAGAUGAAAAAAAUAUACAGAAGAAAUAAAAAGACACGAGAUCAGCCCAAAGCCUGAGUUGAGAAAAAAAAAAAAAACUAGAAGAAAUAAAAAGACACAAAGUUCAGCCCCAAAGCCUGAGUUAGUUGCAUCUCAGAAGGCGAGAUGACUAUGAUGGAAAAUCCUUUGGCAAAACAUCCUUCAUCAAUUUGAGAAGAACAUCAUCUUUAGUUUUU
Molecule: long non-coding RNA, 16106 nt
Filed under: Salvia miltiorrhiza (redroot sage)
Lineage: Eukaryota; Viridiplantae; Streptophyta; Magnoliopsida; Lamiales; Lamiaceae
Description: long non-coding RNA (SMIL_LNC004767)
Source: RNAcentral